RNAcentral lists this ribosomal RNA (571 nucleotides) under Paenibacillus sp. FB2. RNAcentral's name for it is "bacterial SSU rRNA". It matches the Rfam family "Bacterial small subunit ribosomal RNA", at positions 141 to 699 of the family's 1533-position model. The record is from RNAcentral. Lineage: Bacteria; Bacillati; Bacillota; Bacilli; Caryophanales; Paenibacillaceae.
GGAUAACUACCGGAAACGGUAGCUAAUACCCGAUACAUCCUUUUCCUGCAUGGGAGAAGGAGGAAAGGCGGAGCAAUCUGUCACUUGUGGAUGGGCCUGCGGCGCAUUAGCUAGUUGGUGGGGUAAAGGCCUACCAAGGCGACGAUGCGUAGCCGACCUGAGAGGGUGAUCGGCCACACUGGGACUGAGACACGGCCCAGACUCCUACGGGAGGCAGCAGUAGGGAAUCUUCCGCAAUGGGCGAAAGCCUGACGGAGCAACGCCGCGUGAGUGAUGAAGGUUUUCGGAUCGUAAAGCUCUGUUGCCAGGGAAGAACGCUUUGUAGAGUAACUGCUCUUGAAGUGACGGUACCUGAGAAGAAAGCCCCGGCUAACUACGUGCCAGCAGCCGCGGUAAUACGUAGGGGGCAAGCGUUGUCCGGAAUUAUUGGGCGUAAAGCGCGCGCAGGCGGCUCUUUAAGUCUGGUGUUUAAUCCCGAGGCUCAACUUCGGGUCGCACUGGAAACUGGGGAGCUUGAGUGCAGAAGAGGAGAGUGGAAUUCCACGUGUAGCGGUGAAAUGCGUAGAGAUGU